CCUACGGGUGGCAGCAGUGAGGAAUAUUGGUCAAUGGGCGCGAGCCUGAACCAGCCAAGUCGCGUGAGGGAUGACGGUCCUAUGGAUUGUAAACCUCUUUUGUCGGGGAGCAAAAGACGCCACGCGUGGCGUUACGAGAGUACCCGAAGAAAAAACAUCGGCUAACUCCGUGCCAGCAGCCGCGGUAAUACGGAGGAUGCGAGCGUUUUCCGGAUUUAUUGGGUUUAAAGGGUGCGCAGGCGGAAGAUCAAGUCAGCGGUAAAAUUGAGGGGCUCAACCUCUUCGAGCCGUUGAAACUGGUGUUCUUGAGUGGGCGAGAAGUAUGCGGAAGGCGUGGUGUAGCGGUGAAAUGCAUAGAUAUCACGCAGAACUCCGAGUGCGAAGGCAGCAUACCGGCGCUCAACUGACGCUCAUGCACGAAAGUGUGGGUAUCGAACAGGAUUAGAUACCCUUGUAGUC
This 459-nucleotide ribosomal RNA is filed under the name uncultured bacterium. Its description in RNAcentral is "partial 16S ribosomal RNA". It matches the Rfam family "Bacterial small subunit ribosomal RNA", at positions 338 to 795 of the family's 1533-position model. The record is from RNAcentral.